Small nucleolar RNA from Meriones unguiculatus (Mongolian gerbil), 91 nucleotides. RefSeq annotates it as small nucleolar RNA SNORA5. The transcript has a single exon. NCBI's taxonomy places the organism in Eukaryota, Metazoa, Chordata, Mammalia, Rodentia, Muridae. The record is from RefSeq and is a predicted model, not a curated record.
UGCGGCUGUGCCAGAUUCAUGCCUGCCCUGCCCUGGUGAGCACUGGCCCAGAGGCUGCGGUAGAAACUGUCCUUCUUGGGCCCAGACUGUG